This is a non-coding RNA of Caenorhabditis elegans, 147 nucleotides long. NCBI's taxonomy places the organism in Eukaryota, Metazoa, Nematoda, Chromadorea, Rhabditida, Rhabditidae. The record is from Ensembl.
GAAAAUAAAACGAGAAAAAUUUAGAAUACCUCGUAAAAGUAUAUUGCGGAAUGAUGGUGCCGACCACUGCUCGAUGUUUUCCGGCGCAGAAAAACUCGCCCGUCAGGUAUUUCCAGAUAUGAUUUUUGAAGAGAUGUCAUUGAAGAA